GAUGAAGAACGUAGCGAAAUGCGAUAAGUAAUGUGAAUUGCAGAAUUCAGUGAAUCAUCGAAUCUUUGAACGCACAUUGCGCCCCUUGGUAUUCCGAGGGGCAUGCCUGUUCGAGCGUCAUUAUAACCCCUCAAGCUUAGCUUGGUGUUGGGGCUUGCUGUAAUAGAGCAGCCCUAAAAAUCAGUGGCGGUGCCAUUAGGCUCUAAGCGUAGUAAUUCUUCUCGCUAUAGGGUUCUGGUGGAUGCUUGCCAUUAACCUCUAAUUUUCUAUGGUUGACCUCGGAUCAGGUAGGGAUACCCGCUGAACUUAAGCAUAUCAAUAAGCGGAGGA
RNAcentral lists this unclassified non-coding RNA (330 nucleotides) under soil metagenome. RNAcentral describes it as "partial contains 5.8S ribosomal RNA, internal transcribed spacer 2, and large subunit ribosomal RNA". The stretch from base 1 to 120 matches the Rfam family "5.8S ribosomal RNA", at positions 35 to 154 of the family's 154-position model. The record is from RNAcentral.